UGUGUCAUGCAAGAAGGAGGCGGCGGCGGCGGCCGGAGCUGGAGGGGGAGGAGGGGAGGAACCUGAUCCUCGGUAGCGAAGGGCUGGAGGCAAACACCGAGCUCCCCCUGAGCCGCCUGGGAGCAGGGAGGGUUCUGCUACCCUGAGGGGCCCUCCCCGCGGGGCAGAGGGGUUUCCUCAGCAGUGCCCCGGAGCAGGGACCGCGCCAGCCAGCAGAAACAGCUAGUUGUUGUCUGCAGUGAAGAAUAAUUGGAAGCAUGGUGCCUGUUUCUUUUCCUGUGGGAGGAAGUCACAGCAUCUACUUCUGAAUCUGUGCUUGCCUUGAGGAAAAACGGCAUGGCACAGGAAUGUGGACGCUUUCAACCAGAGGAUUCUGUACGACGGUGUCGGCACACAAGGAGUGUUCCACUGACUGACCUCUUUUUGUUUUCAAAUGAAGAGGAGCCAAGAAUAGGACAGCUUGGGAAGCUCAUCCUCGUCUACGGCCAAACGUUGGUUUCUCAUUUCUAGAAGAUGAAAGAUGUGAUGACUCAGGAAAAACUUGCUGCUCGAGAUGUGAGUCUUCAGAUGUUCCUGCCGCCAUAUCUGACAGCUGCUGCCAAGAUUCCCUGGUGGGAUGGACUCUUAUACCUCAACAACCAGAAGCCCAAGGUCUGAAGUCUACCUUAGUGCAGUGGGAGCCACUAACUGUCCUAGUAUGAAGGAAGGAUAUUGAUGUUUUUUGGGCAUGUAAGUGUGUGUGUGUGUGUGUGUGUGUGUGUGUCCCCAUACUCUAGGGACUGAGCCUCCUCACCCAUGUACCACACAGCUUCAGUCCCAGUCCCAUAUUUUGUUUUCAAUCAAACUUUAUACAAAUGUUUCUCAAGAAAAUUAUAAGUUACUUCUUUUAUUUCUCAUUAAUAAUAUUUUGGGGUUUUUAUUUAAUAAAUUUUAAAGCAAGAUGAGCAUUUCAUAAAAGAAA
This 961-nucleotide long non-coding RNA is filed under the name Mus musculus (house mouse). RNAcentral describes it as "RIKEN cDNA 2210408F21 gene". Lineage: Eukaryota; Metazoa; Chordata; Mammalia; Rodentia; Muridae. The record is from RNAcentral.